AUGAACGCUAGCUACAGGCUUAACACAUGCAAGUCGAGGGGCAGCAUGGUCUUAGCUUGCUAAGGCCGAUGGCGACCGGCGCACGGGUGAGUAACACGUAUCCAACCUGCCGUCUACUCUUGGACAGCCUUCUGAAAGGAAGAUUAAUACAAGAUGGCAUCAUGAGUCCACAUGUUCACAUGAUUAAAGGUAUUCCGGUAGACGAUGGGGAUGCGUUCCAUUAGAUAGUAGGCGGGGUAACGGCCCACCUAGUCUUCGAUGGAUAGGGGUUCUGAGAGGAAGGUCCCCCACAUUGGAACUGAGACACGGUCCAAACUCCUACGGGAGGCAGCAGUGAGGAAUAUUGGUCAAUGGGCGAGAGCCUGAACCAGCCAAGUAGCGUGAAGGAUGACUGCCCUAUGGGUUGUAAACUUCUUUUAUAAAGGAAUAAAGUCGGGUAUGCACACCCGUUUGCAUGUACUUUAUGAAUAAGGAUCGGCUAACUCCGUGCCAGCAGCCGCGGUAAUACGGAGGAUCCGAGCGUUAUCCGGAUUUAUUGGGUUUAAAGGGAGCGUAGAUGGAUGUUUAAGUCAGUUGUGAAAGUUUGCGGCUCAACCGUAAAAUUGCAGUUGAUACUGGAUAUCUUGAGUGCAGUUGAGGCAGGCGGAAUUCGUGGUGUAGCGGUGAAAUGCUUAGAUAUCACGAAGAACUCCGAUUGCGAAGGCAGCCUGCUAAGCUGCAACUGACAUUGAGGCUCGAAAGUGUGGGUAUCAAACAGGAUUAGAUACCCUGGUAGUCCACACGGUAAACGAUGAAUACUCGCUGUUUGCGAUAUACGGCAAGCGGCCAAGCGAAAGCGUUAAGUAUUCCACCUGGGGAGUACGCCGGCAACGGUGCAACUCAAAUGAAUUGACGGAAGGUGGAA
RNAcentral lists this ribosomal RNA (904 nucleotides) under uncultured Bacteroidota bacterium. RNAcentral describes it as "bacterial SSU rRNA". It matches the Rfam family "Bacterial small subunit ribosomal RNA", at positions 29 to 925 of the family's 1533-position model. Lineage: Bacteria; Pseudomonadati; Bacteroidota. The record is from RNAcentral.